RNAcentral lists this ribosomal RNA (253 nucleotides) under uncultured bacterium. RNAcentral's name for it is "partial 16S ribosomal RNA". It matches the Rfam family "Bacterial small subunit ribosomal RNA", at positions 524 to 776 of the family's 1533-position model. The record is from RNAcentral.
UACGUAGGGUGCGAGCGUUGUCCGGAAUUACUGGGCGUAAAGCGUGCGCAGGCGGUUCGCUAAGACAGAUGUGAAAUCCCCGGGCUUAACCUGGGAACUGCAUUUGUGACUGGCGGGCUAGAGUAUGGCAGAGGGGGGUAGAAUUCCACGUGUAGCAGUGAAAUGCGUAGAGAUGUGGAGGAAUACCGAUGGCGAAGGCAGCCCCCUGGGCCAAUACUGACGCUCAUGCACGAAAGCGUGGGGAGCAAACAGG